Nyctereutes procyonoides (raccoon dog) is the source of this 505-nucleotide long non-coding RNA. RefSeq lists it as uncharacterized. The record is from RefSeq and is a predicted model, not a curated record. The transcript has 4 exons. NCBI's taxonomy places the organism in Eukaryota, Metazoa, Chordata, Mammalia, Carnivora, Canidae.
CUGGAAGCAGGCUGCGCACGGUCCGCGGAGGCACGGGACGCGCCGGUGCCGCUGACUCCGGGCCGGCCCGGCCGCCGACGCCCACACGGGGAGCGCGCAGGGGGCGCGCGGGGAGGGCGCAGGAGGUUUUCGGUUUCCUGGGCUUUUCAGUCUCCCACAGCAAACUGCAGGCAGGAAGCAGGUGGCCCUCCCAAAGUGCAGUGAGAAGAGCAGCAGAAGCCUGACGCUGUCACAAGGCCUGUGUCCCUUGUCUCACUGGAUUGCAGCAUCAGGGCAUUUUCUCAUCUUGCAUCUUCACAACAAGAAGGCCCUGCCUAUCAACCUGGGCCCAAAUCCGGAGACCCAGGCCCCUCUCUCCACAGAUCUCUGGCUCAUCCUCCCUGGGCACAUGGUGAGAGACACAGCAAGGAGGACUCUACAUUGUCUUUAUGAUAUCUCAGGAAGUAUAAAAAAAAAUCCACCAAGCUAUGUUUGAGUACGGCAGUCUUCCCAUAUUAAUUUUAUU